This 1283-nucleotide ribosomal RNA is filed under the name Longitarsus niger. RNAcentral's name for it is "16S ribosomal RNA". The stretch from base 1073 to 1231 matches the Rfam family "Archaeal large subunit ribosomal RNA", at positions 2542 to 2701 of the family's 2987-position model. Lineage: Eukaryota; Metazoa; Arthropoda; Insecta; Coleoptera; Chrysomelidae. The record is from RNAcentral.
UUAAAAAGUUAAUUGUACAAUCAAUUUAAUUUGAAAAAAAAUUAUUAUUAAUUUUUAUAAUUUAUUUUUUUUUAAAAAAAAUAAUUUUUAUUUUAUUAUUAUAAUUAGAAAAAAUUAAUUUUAUUAUAGUUUAAAGUAUUGUAAAAGAAAUUUUUAAUUGGUUUAAAGAAAAUUUUAUUUUUUGUACCUUGUGUAUCAGGGUUUAUUAAAUGAUUUUAAAAAUUUAAUUUUCUCGAAUUUAAAAGAGCUAAAAAAUUAUUAUUGUUAAUAUUGAAUAAUUAUAUUAAAUAAUUUUUUUGUAAUGAAAUGUUAUUCGUUUUUAAAUAUAUCUAGUUUUUUAAGAAAAAAAUUUAAUUUUAUUAUCUUAAAUAUAAUUUUAUAUUAUAAUUUUAUAUUAUAGGUAUUUAAAAUUUUUAGGGAUUAGCUUAAAAAUUUAAUUUUAUUAAAAUGUAGAUGAAUAUUUUUUUUUAGGAUUAGAAAUUUUCAAAAUUAAAAGUAUAUUAUAAUUUAAUUUAAAAUUAUAAAAUUUUUAUUUUUUAUAAAUAUUAUAUUAAAAUAUAAAUUUUAAUUAAAUAAAUUUAGUAAUAAUGAUAAAAUUAGUAUAAUAUUAUUUAUAUAUAUAUAUAUAUAUAUAUAUAUUAAUUAAAGGAAUUCGGCAAAAUAAAUUUUCACCUGUUUAAUAAAAACAUGUCUUUUUGAUUAUAAUUUAAAGUCUAGCCUGCCCAAUGAAAAAUUUUUAAUGGCCGCGGUAUAUUGACUGUGCUAAGGUAGCAUAAUCAUUAGUUUUUUAAUUAAAAGCUAGAAUGAAGGGUUGAAUGAAAAAUUAACUGUCUCUAAUUAAUUUUAUUAAAAUUUUAUUUUUAAGUUAAAAAGCUUAAAUAUUUUUAAAAGACGAGAAGACCCUAUAGAGUUUAAUAUAUUAAAAAUUUUUAAAUAUUUAGAAUUCAUUUUUUAUGAUAAAAAUAUAUUUAAUUGGGGUGAUUAAAAAAUUUAAUAAACUUUUUUUAUAUAAUUAUAUUAAUUAAUAAAUUUAUGAUCCAAUAAUUUUGAUUAAAAGAUAAAUUACCUUAGGGAUAACAGCGUAAUUUUAUUUAAGAGUUCUAAUCGAAAAUAAAGAUUGCGACCUCGAUGUUGGAUUAAAAUUAAAAUUUGGUGUAGAAGCUAAAUAUUUAAGUCUGUUCGACUUUGAAAAUUUUACAUGAUCUGAGUUUAAACCGGUGUGAGCCAGGUUGGUUUCUAUCUUUAAAUAGUUAAAAUAUUUUAGUACGAAAGGACCAAAUAUU